AUUGAACGCUGGCGGCAUGCCUUACACAUGCAAGUCGAACGGUAACGGGCCUUCGGGUGCCGACGAGUGGCGAACGGGUGAGUAAUACAUCGGAACGUGCCCGAUCGUGGGGGAUAACGAGGCGAAAGCUUUGCUAAUACCGCAUACGAUCUACGGAUGAAAGCAGGGGACCGCAAGGCCUUGCGCGGACGGAGCGGCCGAUGGCAGAUUAGGUAGUUGGUGGGAUACAAGCUUACCAAGCCGACGAUCUGUAGCUGGUCUGAGAGGAUGAUCAGCCACACUGGGACUGAGACACGGCCCAGACUCCUACGGGAGGCAGCAGUGGGGAAUUUUGGACAAUGGGCGCAAGCCUGAUCCAGCCAUGCCGCAUGCAGGAUGAAGGCCUUCGGGUUGUAAACUGCUUUUGUACGGAACGAAAAGCCUUCUUUUAAUACAGGAGGGUCAUGACGGUACCGUAAGAAUAAGCACCGGCUAACUACGUG
Molecule: ribosomal RNA, 482 nt
Filed under: uncultured bacterium
Lineage: Bacteria
Description: partial 16S ribosomal RNA
Rfam family: Bacterial small subunit ribosomal RNA
Source: RNAcentral